This 18-nucleotide microRNA is filed under the name Prunus persica (peach). RNAcentral's name for it is "microRNA miRNA_167". Lineage: Eukaryota; Viridiplantae; Streptophyta; Magnoliopsida; Rosales; Rosaceae. The record is from RNAcentral.
GAGAGGUUGCCGGAAAGA